AGGUUCUCCUGAAAGCUUGUCAUUAAAAAAUUCUAUUAGUCCAAUAAAAAAGGUAUUACAAGAUACAAAUUUUAUCUGUUUUUUUACAUCUACAUCACUGGACUAAUACGGCUACAAUCUCUACUUGAACACUAUGAGGGGAGAUAGAGAGAUAGAUAUUUUUUUUUUUUAUUGGAGUAGCCCCCAAAAUAUUGGGACAUAUAAAAAAAAAAAAAACCCUCUGUUCCGCAGAGUAGCUGUUGACAUAGUUGCGCAGGCACUUUGUUGACUCUAGAGAACCUUGGGCCAAUCACACAUCCCUGUAACGGCGACUUUGCAUUUGGAUGUCAUCCAUAUCAACUUUCGAUGCCAGUUUCUGCACCUACCAUGGUGACCACGGGUAACGGGGAAUCAGGGUUCCAUUCCGUACAGGGAAAUGGCUACCACAUGCAAGGAAGGCAGCAGGCGCGCAAAUGACCCACUCCCGACGCGGAAGUUAGUGACGACAAAUAAUAUAGGACUCUUUAGAGGCCCUGUAAUUGUAAUGAGUCCACUUGAAAUCCUUAAACUCUGAUCAAUUGGAGGGCAAGUCUGGUGCAGAGCGACUGACCCGUGCGUUCUGCAGCUGAAACUCCACUAUCGCCUGCUUUCACAGUCU
Molecule: non-coding RNA, 637 nt
Organism: Pelobates cultripes (western spadefoot toad)
Lineage: Eukaryota; Metazoa; Chordata; Amphibia; Anura; Pelobatidae
Source: the annotation of a GenBank genome assembly